ACACCAUAAGCCUCUCUUUCUCUCUCUAACUUCUCUCUAGCCUCCCUAAACCCCUCCCAAGUCUACGGAACCUCCCUAGCACGAGAAGAAAGCCCCGGAGCGCCCGACGGCUCCGAGAAGAAAAGCUUUCGGCUUGGAAACGCUGCUCCAGCAAAGCCCGGUUUUUAAUAAAAAUUCGCUGUUUUAUCAAAGGAAUAUCGUUUUGAGAGUAUCGAAGCGCUGUCCGAGUGCUGAGUCACCACCAACUCAGGUGACGAUAUGAAGUGACAUUACACAGAGAGAUUUAAAGAGAUGUAGAUCACUAGUGUAAAUAAUUGUAGUUUAGAGGAUCGCGGGAAGACGAAGGCGUGACCAUACACAUCAUCAUGUUUUGGACUUAUGAUUUUGGGAAAACUCUGAUAUGGAACAUGUUUUGAAAACUAUGUUGUAAACGAUUUAUGUUUUGGUUAGAUUUUAAAACUUUAAAUUUUCAUGGAUUUUAUGGAUGUUACAUCUCGACACCCGAGCACAAAUACAUUCUUUCCAAUAUCAGCUAGUAC
This is a non-coding RNA of Lactuca sativa (garden lettuce), 539 nucleotides long. Lineage: Eukaryota; Viridiplantae; Streptophyta; Magnoliopsida; Asterales; Asteraceae. The record is from RefSeq and is a predicted model, not a curated record.